Molecule: unclassified non-coding RNA, 380 nt
Filed under: uncultured Rickettsiales bacterium
Lineage: Bacteria; Pseudomonadati; Pseudomonadota; Alphaproteobacteria; Rickettsiales
Description: contains 16S-23S intergenic spacer region
Source: RNAcentral
UCCAGCUUAACGCUGGCGGUUUCCUUAGAGUUCCCGGCAUAACCCGCUGGCAACUAAGGACGAGGGUUGCGCUCGUUGCGGGACUUAACCCAACAUCUCACGACACGAGCUGACGACAGCCAUGCAGCACCUGUGUGGUAGCCAGCCAAACUGAAGGACUCCGUCUCUGGAGCCCAUACUACCCAUGUCAAGGCCUGGUAAGGUUCUUCGCGUUGCCUCGAAUUAAACCACAUGCUCCACCGCUUGUGCGGGUCCCCGUCAAUUCCUUUGAGUUUUAAUCUUGCGACCGUACUCCCCAGGCGGGGUGCUUCACGCGUUAGCUACGCCACCGGACCCUAAGGGUCCGACGGCUAGCACCCAUCGUUUACGGCGUGGACUAC